Molecule: ribosomal RNA, 1417 nt
Filed under: Hafnia paralvei
Lineage: Bacteria; Pseudomonadati; Pseudomonadota; Gammaproteobacteria; Enterobacterales; Hafniaceae
Description: partial 23S ribosomal RNA
Rfam family: Bacterial large subunit ribosomal RNA
Source: RNAcentral
AACCCUGAGGCGUGAUGACGAGUCACUACGGUGAUGAAGUAGUUGAUGCCAAGCUUCCAGGAAAAGCCUCUAAGCUCUAGGUAACAUUGAAUCGUACCCCAAACCGACACAGGUGGUCAGGUAGAGAAUACCAAGGCGCUUGAGAGAACUCGGGUGAAGGAACUAGGCAAAAUGGUGCCGUAACUUCGGGAGAAGGCACGCUGGCGCGUAGGUGAAGUCCCUUGCGGAUGGAGCUGAAGCCAGUCGAAGAUACCAGCUGGCUGCAACUGUUUAAUAAAAACACAGCACUGUGCAAACACGAAAGUGGACGUAUACGGUGUGACGCCUGCCCGGUGCUGGAAGGUUAAUUGAUGGGGUCAGCCGCAAGGCGAAGCUCUUGAUCGAAGCCCCAGUAAACGGCGGCCGUAACUAUAACGGUCCUAAGGUAGCGAAAUUCCUUGUCGGGUAAGUUCCGACCUGCACGAAUGGCGUAAUGAUGGCCAGGCUGUCUCCACCCGAGACUCAGUGAAAUUGAACUCGCUGUGAAGAUGCAGUGUACCCGCGGCAAGACGGAAAGACCCCGUGAACCUUUACUAUAGCUUGACACUGAACAUUGAGCCUUGAUGUGUAGGAUAGGUGGGAGGCUUUGAAGUGUGGACGCCAGUCUGCAUGGAGCCAACCUUGAAAUACCACCCUUUAAUGUUUGAUGUUCUAACUCCGGUCCCUAAUCGGGAUUGAGGACAGUGUCUGGUGGGUAGUUUGACUGGGGCGGUCUCCUCCUAAAGAGUAACGGAGGAGCACGAAGGUUAGCUAAUCACGGUCGGACAUCGUGAGGUUAGUGCAAUGGCAUAAGCUAGCUUGACUGCGAGAGUGACGGCUCGAGCAGGUACGAAAGUAGGUCAUAGUGAUCCGGUGGUUCUGAAUGGAAGGGCCAUCGCUCAACGGAUAAAAGGUACUCCGGGGAUAACAGGCUGAUACCGCCCAAGAGUUCAUAUCGACGGCGGUGUUUGGCACCUCGAUGUCGGCUCAUCACAUCCUGGGGCUGAAGUAGGUCCCAAGGGUAUGGCUGUUCGCCAUUUAAAGUGGUACGCGAGCUGGGUUUAGAACGUCGUGAGACAGUUCGGUCCCUAUCUGCCGUGGGCGUUGGAAGAUUGAGAGGGGCUGCUCCUAGUACGAGAGGACCGGAGUGGACGCAUCACUGGUGUUCGGGUUGUCAUGCCAAUGGCAUUGCCCGGUAGCUAAAUGCGGAAAAGAUAAGCGCUGAAAGCAUCUAAGCGCGAAACUUGCCUCGAGAUGAGUCUUCCCUGAGACCUUGAGUCUCCUAAAGGAACGUUUAAGACUAAGACGUUGAUAGGCUGGGUGUGUAAGCGUAGCGAUACGUUGAGCUAACCAGUACUAAUGAUCCGUGAGGCUUAACCUUACAACACCGAAGGUGUUU